UACAAAUUGUGUACUGGGGGGCUGG
This 25-nucleotide non-coding RNA is filed under the name Rattus norvegicus (Norway rat). Lineage: Eukaryota; Metazoa; Chordata; Mammalia; Rodentia; Muridae. The record is from RNAcentral.